CGGCCGCGUCGACGUGGGAAGAAGGCUCUUGGGUUGUAAACCCCUUUUCUCUGGGAAGAAAGUUGUGAAAGCAACCUGACGGUACCAGAGGAAUCAGCAUCGGCUUGGGAAAAUAUUUAUAGCCUGAAGAUGAGCUCGCGUCCGAUUAGCUAGUUGGCGGAGUAAAGGCCUACCAUGGCGACGAUCUGUAGCUGGUCUGAGAGGAUGAUCAGCCACACCGGGACUGAGACACGGCCCGGACUCCUACGGGAGGCAGCAGUGGGGAAUAUUGGACAAUGGGGGCAACCCUGAUCCCAGCCAUGCCGCGUGUGUGAAGAAGGCCUUUUGGUGUAAAGCACUUUAAGCAGUCGAAGAAGACUCCGUGGUUAAUACCCACGGACGAUGACAUUAGCUGCAGAAUAAGCAC
RNAcentral lists this ribosomal RNA (406 nucleotides) under uncultured bacterium. RNAcentral describes it as "bacterial SSU rRNA". It matches the Rfam family "Bacterial small subunit ribosomal RNA", at positions 90 to 493 of the family's 1533-position model. The record is from RNAcentral.